GGUAAUUCCUUUUAAAUUAAGGCCCCACCCUAUAUAUCUUUCUUGUUACAAAAUCACUGUCAAAUACAAAUCGUGAAAGUAGCUAAUUUUUGAAUCAUGAUAAUGAUACAUUUCCUUUUUCCUUUUUUUUUUUCAUUUAUUUCUAGCAAAGAAAUACAAAUAAAUAUCAAAAUAAAAUUAUCAGCCGCUAGCCAGUACAAUUCAAGGAACUACACAAGAGAGAAACUACAUUACACAAACAACAUCCCUACAGCAGACAAUUAGAAAUAAUAUGCUACAAAGAAAUAUUAUCCUCUGUAAAAUGAAAAAAUGACUUUCUUCACUCGCUGGAAAACUUGCCGCCUUGGACCAGGAUCUUGUAAGUGGCUAGAAUCCGGAAGCCACACCAAUUAAUGCGCACAGCGUCUCUGUGACAGUUCUUUCUGCUGGAUAUCAGAAAGUUUGCAUGAGAUGAGAUCUAAAAGAAAUGGUCAAAAUAGCAUCCUUUUGUUUAUUACCAUUAUAACUGAGUCAAAAUCUAAACUACAACCAGAUGGCACAGUGGUGGUGAAUACGGAUUGCAGCUAGUCCACAGAAACAAGUGCAGUUCAUUGAAUUUCAUGACUCAGACAAAUGAAUACUACCUCCGAUUCAGGCUCUAAUUAACAUUUCAUAAUGAAAAAAGAAUCAAUGUUUUUCAGUCCCUUUCAUAACAAACAUGCGCCAAGAUGAAUCUACUAUUACAAAGCAACACAAUAUGAUGAUCUGUGGUUUUAAGAAAGUUAAAAAGUGCAGUUUUCCAGAAGGGUAGAUACCUAAAUAAAAGUCAAGACCCUUCAAAGGAUUGUGCAAUAUCUUCGUUGAAUUCACCAAAAAUAUUUGGGCAUCCCUCCCAAUUUCCCUGUUCUCGUGCUUCCCAGUAACCACCAGCAUAGUAGAAAGGUCCAUCUUCACCUUCUCUCUGAAACCACCUGGGCUUCCAUCCAUGCUCUUGUAAUUUCCUCGACAUUCUUUGCCGCUUCUCCAACCGUUGUUUCUCUGCAUUUGCCUUCUCAUAUUCCCCAUUCUCCAGAUGCCGUUGGUCUGGUCUAAGCCUGGAAUCCGUAGGUGGGAGCUUCUCCUUAAUCCGUGAUCAAAUACCCGGGAUCAGACAUGGCUUCAGUCCAGGUGUUAAUUCAUUCAGAGUGAUCGCAAAUGACGUUAAAUUGUACCGAGUGACAUUAGGAGGUGGCUUUGUACUUUUCCAAAGCAAGGUGGCACUAGAUGAGGAAUUGAAAUCUUUUGUCUUGCUACUCCCAUCGCCUUCAGUAUAAUACAUGCUGUCAUCCCACUUCCCAAAUAAUGUAGCAACUUUUUUCCCCGAGACAUCUUCAACAAACCCAUUAACCUGGUGAGGAUUUCUGUCUAGAAUUGAUUGUUCUUUGAACUUGAGUUUGCAUGAAUAUUGUCGAUUUCCACGUAUAUGCAUUAUUCCAUGGUGAUCACAAUACACUUUACCGAGGAUAAGAUUGUAAAUCGUUGUCGUCACCUUGCUCCAUUGAAAUAUUUCACCAUCAUCAAACUCCAGGGUCAGAACUCCAACAGGAUCAAGCUGAAUUGACCGACCCCAAAAUUUUGUGCGGAGGUUGCUAUCAGCUGAAAACUUCCACCCUCUACCUUCACAGUGGCAGGCAAUGAGAGUUGGGUGAUGACUAACCUUCUCAGAGAAGAAACGAACUCCUCUAUCAGGAAAGUCAGCUUCAUAAGUUUCUCCAAGCAAAGGAUUGAAGGGUUUGCAGUGCCUGCCUUCAGAAGAAGCAUAUCCAGAAACAGCAAAUGCAGCAACAUAUACGAUCCUCAGGAGACUAUUUCCCUUAUUAAAGUUUUAAUUUGAAACAGAAUGGAAUCCACCAAUCUCCAUUGAUGCAUGCCCCUUGAGUUAUUUACCAUCUCUUAUAAAACAUUUGAAUGUGCACAAACAUAUCUCCUGGGGAUCUCCUAUAAAGAUCAAGCAUGGCAAGAAAGCAGAGGAGGAAACACACAUACACAAAAUGAAAAAACAAAAACAAAAAGCAACAACAAAAUAUUUUUAACUAGACCAAUAUUAAUAUACAUACUGCAUCAUAAAGGGGCGAAAUGUUCAUUUGAAUCAAGACCCACAAUAUGUAACAAACCAAGAACUGUAUGGAAAUCUUACUCCUUUUCCAUAUUCAUAUGCUUGGUCCAAAAGAUAAGAAUACUCCAAGUCCUCAAAGCACUUCUGAAGAGAUGAUAUUGGUUCAUUGAAGUAAACAGGAAGACAAACUCGUGUGAGAUCCUUCCCCACAUUGUCUUUGAUCAUAGACCACAGACUAACCCCUUUCUCCUUCUCAACUGGGUCAGGAAGCUUCUUUCGCCUUUCAAUGUGUGGAUAUCCAGAAUGACAAAGUUGCAUCUUGGCAAGCAUCUUCUCCUCAUUAUCAAUUUGAUUGUGUUCCCUGUGUUUCUCACACUGACUGGCAGCUUCUUUUAUUGAUCCAUGAAUAACUGUAGGUUCAGUAAAAUACUCUUUUGUAUCGUAAAAGGAGACCUCAUCUUCUUCUGACACUUCCUCAAGCUCUUGUUUCUCAAUAUCAUCAGAUGAUUCUGUAGUGCUACAUUCACUUAAUUUUCCACGCCCUAAACUUGAAAAUUCAUGCUUUGUCAAUUGAAAUUCACCAUCUGGAAUUCCAGAUGUUUCAGCUUCAAUAUUGGCCGCCUCUAAUUGCCUCAAUGUGUCUAGCAAAUUGGAGCGUUCCUCGCAAAGUAACUUAAGUUGUCCUUGUAUUUCGGAGAAUUCAGACAGCAUGAUCUGCUCACAAUCCUUGACUAGGUUCUCAAUGACACCCUCUUCAAGUAAGCGCUUUUUAAGCCUUUCUGUUGAAAUAGACAAAUCUUUUGGUACAAGGGAGAAACUAUCAUUUAGUGAUCUUGAUGGAAAGAGGCUCCUGGUUGAGACCAAAGCUUGUAUCCAAGCCACCCUAUCUCUUUUUGAAUCAGUUCUCAGAUGAAGUGUCUUCGUAGCUGUAAAUAUGUAAAAUCGCCUAUCAUCGGACUUGCUCUCUCGGAAUGACGAGAUCUUUAAAUGAACAAUGCCAACACUUUUCUGGGGCUUCCGGCGACAACUUCCACUGUCCAUCCUCGAUAGCCGAUUGGUAGAGAUUUCUCCGAUCAGUCUCACAUCAUCAUUAGGGGUUAACAAAUUCAGAUUCUCAGGCCGCCGAAUCUUUGAGUAAGAGAGAACGCCGUUUUUAAGUAAGAACCACCGUGAUCUCCACCCCUUGCUGUAAUUCGUCCACUUGUAUAGCACUCCAGCUACGGUAGCCUCCGAUCCCGCUGUAAUCCGCCCCGCAUUGCCAUCAGAUCCGCCGGAAAACCCAACAGGCAAGGAUCUCGUCCUGGUCAACGACGCAUCAGGCGACUGGUUCCCGAUUCCGGGGCUCUCCAGCGAGAUGCAGCAAAGCGGGUGCAUUUCCUUGACCCUCAUUUUCAUUACCAUUAGCCCCCAAAAAAAACGUCACAUCAAACGAACACACUCCCUGAGCUCUUGAACUGAGAGAUUCAAUUAAGAGGAGAUAGCCAAAAAGGAGAGAGAUUUUCCACUUUCUUAUUAAAAAAAGAAAAAAGGGAAAAAUCUAGUUGUAGUGAAGGGGCUAUAUCAAGAGCACGCUUUGAACUUAUGAAUAUAUAUGGCAAUGGAAGAGGAAGAAGAAAAGAGAGAAG
RNAcentral lists this unclassified non-coding RNA (3699 nucleotides) under Hevea brasiliensis (rubber tree). Lineage: Eukaryota; Viridiplantae; Streptophyta; Magnoliopsida; Malpighiales; Euphorbiaceae. The record is from RNAcentral.